This 224-nucleotide unclassified non-coding RNA is filed under the name Hevea brasiliensis (rubber tree). Lineage: Eukaryota; Viridiplantae; Streptophyta; Magnoliopsida; Malpighiales; Euphorbiaceae. The record is from RNAcentral.
UUUUUUUUUUUGGCUCUCAAAACACUUACCAAACUGAUUAAAAUAUAAAUUUCACUCAGAAGCGUGUACUUUUUUUUGGAUUGGAAUGUAAGAGUUGUGCAUAUUGUGUUUCACCUUUUUUUUUCUGUUUGAGGUUUGAUUGGCAAUCUGAGAAGGAUGUUGUAGUUUCUCUACCAAGUUUGUAUUUGUUUACUUUCGCUUCAUGGAUUUUACUAAAUAUUAAU